Molecule: ribosomal RNA, 253 nt
Filed under: uncultured bacterium
Lineage: Bacteria
Description: partial 16S ribosomal RNA
Rfam family: Bacterial small subunit ribosomal RNA
Source: RNAcentral
UACGGAGGGUGCAAGCGUUAUCCGGAUUUACUGGGCUUAAAGGGUGCGUAGGUGGGUCUGUAAGUCAGUGGUGAAAUCUCCGGGCUUAACUCGGAAACUGCCAUUGAUACUAUCUGUCUUGAAUACCGUGGAGGUCAGCGGAAUAUGUCAUGUAGCGGUGAAAUGCUUAGAUAUGACAUAGAACACCAAUUGCGAAGGCAGCUGGCUACACGAAUAUUGACACUGAUGCACGAAAGCGUGGGGAGCAAACAGG